CCCCCCCUCCUCCAUCCUCGUCGCGUGCUCGUCGAUCGACAACAAUGGCGGACGCGCUCCGGAUUUGCCGAUCCACCGGAGCGCGCGAUCAACUCACCCUGGCGAGAAAUUUGCCGAUCGCAGGACGCCUCGGCUCGCAUCCGCGACUCCCCGCGGCCUCUGUCGCGUCCGUCGACCGCGUCUCUCGGUGCACCGUGCGUCCUUUUUCCCAAGUUUUCCCGCGGACAAAGGCCGCAUCGACCGACAUGUAAGAUUUUCACGUUCGGAGCCACUUUAAGGGGCCAAGCGGGGUCGUCGCCGAUAGGCUGCGUGUGACGUGGUUGCGUUUAUUGACCAUAACCCCUUCCUACCUAUCGUCUGCAAUUUUACGACAGACAGGUGUACGACCCGCGAAACUAUUGACCGGCGCGCCUCGCCUCGCCUCGCCUCGUCUCACCCGACUCGACUCGAUUCUCGAUUCCGUGUCCUUUGAGAGAGUCGCGCAUCUUGAAACGUACGCGCGAUACUUCAUCGUUCGCCGAGACAGAACAGGCAGUCUGCGAAGGAGACAUUCUUCAUUGUUUCUUCGAUCGGUGGAGACUGAAACGGACAGCCAUUUGCUCUCGAAGCGAUAGCGAUCGCAUGAUAAUUUGAGGGUUUCGCAAAACUCUCGUGAGUUGCGGAAUAAUUUUGAGAGUAAAAUUGCUCUCGUCUCGAAAUGCCGCGACAAUGAUUGAAAUAUAGAGAUGGAAAAUAUAGCGGUACAUUAUUAUUGUUGGCUCGACACGGCAUCGGAUUCUAUUAGACAUUUAUAUAAAUGAUACGACACGGAUGAGAGAGAUGGUACAUGUGUUUGCACGCUACUGAUGACGUUUAAAAAAAAAGUUACACAUCCAAGAUCAAUAAUAUAUAUUAUCAAGAGAAUGGAAAAUCUCUUAAAAGUUACUUAACAUGUAUAUAUUGCCAUACGAAUACUACUUUCUCUUAUUAUUAGUCAUUCUUCCUGUAUAUCUCUUUUUUAAACUUUGGUCGUGGCUUGGAUGGGAACUGUUUGUAAAUAAUUAAAAUUUUAACAUGCGAAGA
This is a long non-coding RNA of Camponotus floridanus (Florida carpenter ant), 1062 nucleotides long. RefSeq lists it as uncharacterized. The transcript is spliced from 2 exons. The record is from RefSeq and is a predicted model, not a curated record. Lineage: Eukaryota; Metazoa; Arthropoda; Insecta; Hymenoptera; Formicidae.